Molecule: long non-coding RNA, 751 nt
Organism: Rhododendron vialii
Lineage: Eukaryota; Viridiplantae; Streptophyta; Magnoliopsida; Ericales; Ericaceae
Exons: 2
Source: RefSeq, a predicted model, not a curated record
CUCCACCAAAACUUCUGCUACUUGUAAAGCACAAUUAACCCAUUUGUCUUCCCACUUCAACACACGGCUAGCUAGCUAGCUCCAUCCCUCCUCUCUGACAUUUCAGUUUCCAGAUUGAUCAUGGCACCUAAGGAUAUUAAAAUCGGACUAGUCGUGUUCUUUGUCGUCCUCGUGCUAUCGAACGUCGCUGCGGCGCAAUCACCUGAAUCGGGUGAUUGCGACAACGUUCCAGGGGAAUGUGUCCCAAUCACGGUUCCCAUCGACGAACUUAUUGACGCAGAUCACCUGGUUAACCUUGAUGGCCCUCUAGUUGAUCCUAUUAAUAUUGAUCCUUAAACAGCUGGGAUCACAGGUUCCAGAGCAGUGCCUUCAACAGAUGGUGCCUGAUCAUCUGGUGAUAGCUGUGCCCGUUCAAAUGAUCACCCCCUUCAAGUUUGCAGUGUGCUUCUUUCUCUUCAUUGUGUCAUCUCAUGUCAUGUAUUAUAAAUAAGCUGUUGACAAUUAAUGUUACGAGACGUCCCGAUCGAGGGCGUUGAUUUAUCAGUACUGUUUGCUUUUUCGUGGUCCGGUUUGCAGUAAGUUGAAACGAAGGAUGCUUUUCUCAAUGUUUAGAUUUAGAUUAUUGUUGUUUGUUUCCCCGGCUGGCAUCAUCAGGAGAUGGCCAGGAUUUCAUGUGUGUGAUUGUACGUAUCAUUUGACAUUUUAAGAAAAUAAGGAAUGAAGGGGGCAGGAACUUCUGUUCGUUCAUCUA